AAAAUUAAUUAUAAAAAGACAUGUAAGGAAUAAGCUAAGUUGUCGGUUUGGGUUCGGGCACAAAUACAUAUAGUAUUUGAAAAAUUAAUUAUAAAAAGACAUGUAAGGAAUAAGCUAAGUUGCCGGUUUGGGUUUGGGCACCAGUUCGGGUUCGAAAAACCGGUAGUAGAGACGAGCACAUCCAGCCUCGAAAAACAGGGUAUCUGAUACCCCCAACAGGUAUGGCAAAAUUUUGAAAAGGGGUUUAGGUUUGUAGUACAAAAACUCUAUCUAUCUAUUUAUAUAUAGCCUAGAAGCAUGCAUUAAGAUUAGAAUGUCACAUAACAUCAUAUAAAGAACCAAACCACCAUAAACUUGUAGUCAUAGCAUCAUAUACAUCAAGUUCGAUAUCAAAUUAAUAAUAUCGAAUUCAAGUAUCAUUUUUUCAACAAUUAAAUAUCUGCUCUAAGCUGCAAUUAAUAAUGUUUAUAUUAGAGGAUGACCUAGCAAACUGGAGCGCUUAGAGGAAACCACUACUACCUGCCAAUUGUACUCUGGUUGAUUAGCUUGUGUUGACACCUCCUAUGCCUUGUGUUAAGCCUUUUCUAUGGUCUUCUGGCUGAUUUGAAUGUUCUUCACCCCAAUGUUGUUCUCUAAUCAUUAAACCAAUAGAUCUGAUGCCCAUUCACAUUGAUUAAUAAUGCUCCAGUUUGGCAUCUUGAGGAUAUUCUGAAGCCCUUGGUGGUACUCUUUUAACAUUUUGGAGUCUCCUCUGUCACGUUUUGGUAUUUAGUAAGGCAAAAACAAACUUUUGGAGGAUUCAGGGUAUACAAGAUUAACUGUAAACCUUGUGGUAAGGAGCAAUAAGGUUGUUUUUAUAUAAGGGUGCAUGUUGGUGGUAUUCAACACCUUGAUCAAACUAGGUGUGUUUUGUAACUUGAAAAUGAGUUUUUUAGCACUUGAACAUGGUUAUGCAUGCAUCCGUCACAAUCCAAUCCUCACCACAAAUUUAAUGCUAUCAGUCAAGUCAAAGACAUUUGUAAGAUUUUGAGGUACCGACAGAUUUCAAGUGGCUGAUUGCAAAAAAAAAUAAUGUUUUUUGGUGCCCAAGUGUCUGGGUUUGCCCUAGACAAACCAGCUCGUUUGGGCACGAACCUAGGCUGAACCCACAAGCGAAUCCAGAGCAGGGCCAGUACCAAAACCGAAUCGGACCAAUACUAGGCCUUCAGACCAGCGAACCUUGCAACUUAGGGAAUACGUAUAAGAAUUGUGGAGGUUACAAUUCUUCAUCUUAGACUGUUCCAGAUUUGUAACGGCAGACCUAUUUUGUGUGUCUCUUGAAGUGGAGGCUGCAUGGCAGGGGCGGCUUAUUUAAAUCUUGUGCGCCUAAUGUGUCAAUAGGGGAGAGCUAGCAAUGAAUGGUGGCGGCUCAUGGAAGGCAAAAAUAGACAACGCACAACACAAUAUGGGGCAUAUGAAUUAAAGGCUGCACAUUUUGUCUUAAAUAAGGCAGUGUAUAGUGUUAGAGAAAAAAGGGGGGUCUUUACUUUAUUUUGAAGAAUAUUUGGCUGUGAAAACUCACUGCAUAGGAAGCUACACAUUGGGAGAAGUAGCGUAGAAAAAUUAGGAUAGAGAGAGGAGAUUUAAGGAUGAGGGAGAUGUUGUCCCUUUAGAGAGUGUGCAAACAGAUUUGGAUUCAAUGGAAUCAGUAAUUUAUUUCUGUUAA
Cryptomeria japonica (Japanese cedar) is the source of this 1705-nucleotide long non-coding RNA. RefSeq lists it as uncharacterized. NCBI's taxonomy places the organism in Eukaryota, Viridiplantae, Streptophyta, Pinopsida, Cupressales, Cupressaceae. The record is from RefSeq and is a predicted model, not a curated record. The transcript is spliced from 2 exons.